RNAcentral lists this ribosomal RNA (377 nucleotides) under uncultured eukaryote. RNAcentral describes it as "partial 18S ribosomal RNA". It matches the Rfam family "Eukaryotic small subunit ribosomal RNA", at positions 592 to 975 of the family's 1831-position model. The record is from RNAcentral.
CAAUAGCGUAUAUUUAAGUUGUUGCAGUUAAAAAGCUCGUAGUUGGAUUUCGGGUGGGACGCAGCGGUCUCGCAUUGCGUUUGUACUGCUGCAGCCCUCCUUCUUGCCGGGGGCGGCCUCUCGGACUUCACUGUCUGGGGGUCAGAAUCGGCGAUGUUACUUUGAGUAAAUUAGAGUGUUCAAAGCAAGCUUACGCUCUGAAUAUAAUAGCAUGGGAUAACACGACAGGACUCUGGCCUAUCGUGUUGGUCUAUAGGACCAGAGUAAUGAUUAAGGGGGACAGUCGGGGGCAUUCGUAUUCCGUUGUCAGAGGUGAAAUUCUUGGAUUUACGGAAGACGAACAUCUGCGAAAGCAUUUGCCAAGGAUGUUUUCAUUG